This 576-nucleotide ribosomal RNA is filed under the name uncultured eukaryote. RNAcentral describes it as "SSU rRNA". It matches the Rfam family "Eukaryotic small subunit ribosomal RNA", at positions 82 to 662 of the family's 1831-position model. The record is from RNAcentral.
GUAAACUGCGAAUGGCUCGGUAAAUCAGUUAUAGUUUAUUUGAUAGUGCAUCCUACUCGGAUAACCGUAGUAACACUAGAGCUAAUACGUGCGUAAAUCCCGACUUUUUGAAGGGACGUAUUUAUUAGAUUUAUGGCUAACCGGGCUUGCCCGACCAGCGGUGAAUCAUAGUAACUUGACUGAUUGCAUGGCCUCGUGCCGGCGACGUGUCAUUCAAGUUUCUGCCCCAUCAGGUUUCGACUGUAGUGUAUUGGACUACAGUGCCUAUAACGGGUAGCGGAGGAUUAGGGUUCGAUUCCGGAGAGGGAGCCUGAGAAACGGCUACCACAUCCAAGGAAGGCAGCAGGCGCGCAAAUUACCCAAUCCCAAUUCAGGGAGGUAGUGACAAGAAAUAACAAUGCUGGGGCAAUUCGCUUCUGCAAUUGGAAUGAGAACAACUUAAACCACUUAACGAGUACCAAUUGGAGGGCAAGUCUGGUGCCAGCAGCCGCGGUAAUUCCAGCUCCAAUAGCGUAUAUGUAAGUUGUUGCGAUUAAAAAGCCCGUAGCUGAACCUCGGAUAACCCUGCCGGUCCGC